This 433-nucleotide ribosomal RNA is filed under the name uncultured bacterium. Its description in RNAcentral is "partial 16S ribosomal RNA". It matches the Rfam family "Bacterial small subunit ribosomal RNA", at positions 29 to 507 of the family's 1533-position model. The record is from RNAcentral.
AACGAACGCUGGCGGCAUGCCUAACACAUGCAAGUCGAACGAUGCCUUCGGGCAUAGUGGCUCACGGGUGAGUAACGCGUGGGACCCUGCCCUGUGGUACGGAAUACCUCCGGUAAACUGGAGCUAAUACCGUAUGUGUCCCCUUGGACAAAGAUUUAUCGCCACGGUAUGGGCCCGCGUAGUAUUAGCUUUUUGGUGGGGUAACGGCCUACCACGGCUACGCUCCUUAGCUGGUCUGAGAGGAUGAUCAGCCACACUGGGACUGAGACACGGCGCAGAAUACUACGGGAGGCAGGAGUGGGGAAUAUUGGAAAAUGGGCGCAAGCCUGAACCAGCAAGGCCGGGUGAGUGAUGAAGGCCUUCGAGUAGUAAAGCUCUUUAGCACGCGACGAUGAUGACGGUAGCGAGAGAAGAAGCCCCGGCUAACUUCGUG